Molecule: transfer RNA, 93 nt
Filed under: Bacteriophage sp.
Description: tRNA-OTHER
Rfam family: tRNA
About the family: Transfer RNA (tRNA) molecules are approximately 80 nucleotides in length. Their secondary structure includes four short double-helical elements and three loops (D, anti-codon, and T loops).
Source: RNAcentral
CGGAACGUAGCUCGUUGGCAGGAGCUUUCAAGCGUGUGCUAAUUCACGAAAUCUUAAGAUGGAAAGUCGGGGGUUCGAAUCCUUCCGUUCCGA